This is a long non-coding RNA of Pseudopipra pipra, 4033 nucleotides long. RefSeq lists it as uncharacterized. The transcript is spliced from 2 exons. Lineage: Eukaryota; Metazoa; Chordata; Aves; Passeriformes; Pipridae. The record is from RefSeq and is a predicted model, not a curated record.
GGAGCCGCGAUCAUACGUUUAAGUCUCUUAUUUGCCCUUAAGCCGUGCCGCGGUCCCGCUUCGCGGGGGGAGGGGGAGGUGAGGAGCCCAGCUGGCUCUCCCUGCCCCUGUCUCUCUCCCGCGGGUGAAAUUAGGCAUUUGGCCUGGCGGGGGCGGGGGGUCCCACAGAAGGUGACUCCAGGAAGCGUUAAUCCACCUGCUACCCCCAGCGCGGUCCCGGCGUUACCGGGCAGGAGGGGGUCGCGCCUCUACCGCCCCCUUCCCUUCCCCACCGCGGGUCCGCGGGCGAUGCUCACCUUGAGGCACUUGGCCUUGUUGAACCUCAUCCUGUUGGAAUCAGACCAUCUCUCCAGCUUGUCCAGGUCCCUCUGAAGAGCCUUCCUGCCUUCCAGAAGAUCAACACUCCCCCCCAACUUGGUGUCAUCUGCAAAUUUGCUAAUGGGACACUCAAUCCCCUCAUCCAGACUACCAAUAAAGAUAUUAAACAGAACUGUGCCCAACACUGAUCCCCAGGGGACACAAUAGUGACCGGCCACCAACUGGAUGCAGCACCAUUCACCACCACUCUCUGGGCUCUGCCCUCUAGCCAGUUCUUAAUCCAGCACAGAGUGCCCCUGUCCAAGCCGUGGGCUGCCAGCUUUCCCCGGAGUAUGCUGUGAGAGACGGUGUCAAGGGCUCUGCUGAAGUCCAGAUAGGCCACAUCCACAGCCUUCCCCUCAUCCAUCAGGCGGGUCACCUGGUCAUAAAAGGAGAUCAGGUCGGUCAGACAGGACCUGCCCUUCCUAAACCCAUGCUGGCUGGGUCUGAUCCCUUGUCCAUCCUGUAGGUGUCAUGUGAUUGCACUUAGGAUGAUCUGCUCCAUCACCUUGCCAGGCACUGAGGUCAGGCUGAUGGGCCUGUAGUUUCCCAGGUCCUCCUUGCAGCCCUUUUUGUGGAUCGGUGUGACAUUCGCCAACUUCCAAUCAUCUGGGACCUCCCCUGUAAGCCAGGACUGUUGGUAGAUGAUGGAGAGGGGCUUGGCGAGCUCUUCUGCCAGCUCCCUCAUCACCCUAGGAUGGAUCCCAUCUGGUCCCAUAGACUUGUGAGGAUCCAAGUGGCUCAGCAGGUCGCAAACUGUUUCCUCCUGGAUUACAGGGGGGCUAUUUGGAUUCCUGUCUCUGUCUACCAGCUCCGGAGGCCAGUUGUCCUGAGGACAGUGUGUCUUACUGUUGGAAACUGAGGUAAAGAAGGUGUUAAAUACCUCAGCCUUUUCCUCAUCUUUGAGAACUAUGUUCCCGCCCAUGCCCAAUAAACAAUGGAGGUUUUCCUUGUCCCUCCCUUUGCUACUGAUGUAUCUGUAGAAAGACUUUUUGUUAUACUUAACAGAAGUGACUAGAUUGAGUUCAAAUUGUGCCUUUGUCUCUCUAGUUUUCUUUCUACAUGACCUAACUAUGUUCUUAAACUCUUCAUGAGUAGCCAGCCCUUUUUUCCAUAGUCAGUAAAUUCUCUUUUUUCCCCUAAUUUCCUUCACAAUCUCCCUGUUCAGCCAGGCUGGCUGUCUUCCCCACCGGCUCGCUUUUCGGCACACUGGGACAGCCUGCUCCUGUGCAUUCAAGACUUGCUUCUCGAAGCAUGUACAUCCCUCCUGGACCCCUUUGUUUUCAAGGGCUGUUUCCCAAGGUACCCUCUGAACCAGUCUUCUGAGUAGGCCGAAAUCUGCCCUGCGGAAGUCCAGGGUAGAAGUUUUAUUGCUGGCCUUCUUUGCGUCCCUGAGUAUGAGAAUCAUUGAGAAUCAAAGGCUGGCUCUAAUCACAGGCACCAAGACAGGAACAGCUCAUUUUGGGUCUUUCUUCAUAGGCAGUGGGGAGCUGGCACAGAAAGAUAGCAUUAAUUUAUCAGGUAUUCAAUGAAGAAAAAGAAAGAUGGGUCGCAUAAUUGUUAUUUACUGAAGACGGAUGCUUUUCACAGUUCCUGAUUAUUGAAAUUGAUAUGUAUUACUGGAUAUAUUGUUUGUAAAAUAUAGUUUGAUAAAAUAUCAACACCAGAAAUGCUUCACGGAAUUAUGAAACAUCUUAAAAGCUGAAGAGACAGACUAAUAAAAUGACUGUUUGUUGGCAGUGUGAUUAGUUUGGAUAUUCUGCAAGGGAAGUGUCACCUUACACUGAGCAAAACAUCAGUUGGAAUAUUAUAAAUGAUCUAUUUCUAAUAGUACAGUUGGCUGAAGAAAGCUGCAGAAAAUAUCAUAUUCUGCACACACACACAUAGCUCUGAUAACUAACCAAUAUCCCAAUAUAGCGAACAUUCAGUAGGAUUAACUUCCUAGAUAUAUCUGUGCCAAAUUUAGCAAUUAGAGUCAGUAUUUUUCCACAGUGUUUCAUUCCCACUGUAUUAUUUCCUCCUACCCUUAGCACCUCUUCAACUACUUCUUUUCUGAUCGUGACUAAGCAGGCUGUUCCCAGCAGAAACUAAAUCCCAAAUUUUUUUCAUUCCCACUUCAAUUCCUCCUAAGAUGCCAUGAGCAGACAUGCCACAUUCUUUAUUUUAUCUCUUUAUAGUCAUUUCAAUUAAUCUACCUCCAAUUGAUCCUAAACCUUUAGGACCUCUGACUUAAGUGCCAGUUCCCUUCAAAGCUGUUUUUGAUUUAAGUCUGGUUUUUGAGACAGCUGCUCCCUAGUUUUCUUCUUGCCUCUGAAAAUCUCGAACAAUUGCUUCUUACAAAUACUCUGACUGUGAUGGUUUAGGAGUUGCUUUGUCCUCAAUGCAUCUGCUGUUCUAUUAGGGUUCAGGAAAGCUGAUUAUUGAAGUCUGCUUCACAAUUCCUAUGUUUCCACACGGAAUUUCCUCUCCAACUCUCCCAUCCCCAUAGGGCACAUCAUUGCAUCCCCAUAUGACAAUCAAGCUCUUGAUUAUGCAGCACCUUUGAGGCAAGUGCAUAGUUACUUCCUGCAGUUUGGACUCAUCCGAGAAGGCUCCACAAUAAGUUGAGAAAUCAAUGAUUUUUAAGGAACAUGCAAACUCUCACUCAUCAGUGCUUAAGUACCAAAAAAUAAAGGCCCAGAAGAAGAAGAAUCAAUGAGCAGGAAUGCCAUAUCCUGACAUAAAGAGAAGUAUAAGCAAGUAAGAUUGAUUUUCAUACAUCAGAGGGAUGUUUGGAAAACAGACCACUGAUUGUAGGGAAAGACCUACAAUCUCAGCACAACCUAAGUCAUCAAAAACACUACUAGUGGUAUAUUCAGGGUUCUAUGCUCUUUCAGUAAAUAAGGCAUCAACUUUAAUUUUUGAAUUUAAAUAAAUAUGCUAGCACUUUCUAUUCAGAAGUUGAAGAGGAAGCUUUGCUUACUUCCUUAACUUAUCUUGUAGUGUAUUACAGUUUCUUUCUCAUCAGAAGCAGAACGGAUAGUGUUGUUGCCAUGCACUUGUAAUAAGAGAUUCAACAAUAAAGAUUUUAACUAAAACAGGGAAUUAGUAUUCACUGAAAAAUAUUUUCGGAUCAGCGGACACCUGUAGCAUAUGUAAAAGGUGUCCUUAGCACUGAAUUAGUAGUAUUUCAAAAAAUUCUCAAAAAUUUGACAUCUAUUGUAUCUUUACAGCACUUGGGUACUUUUCUUUUUUGAAGCUAGAUUGAAGCAGUUCUUUAUAUUUAUUACAUUUAUUACCAGAAAUGCUGGUGUUUUAGAAAGAAUAAGAUACCAUAUGAUAACUAAUUGAUUUAGUGCAUUUCAGGUUGCAGAGUCGAGCUCAGAAUUGUGUUGAAGUGUCUUGCCAAGGCAGGCAAAAUAAGGAGGAAGAAAAGUUUUCUAGUAACCUUAACUUGUAAGAGAGCUUGGAGUCUGUUCUCCAGCUUCUGAAGGACGAAAUACCUCUUUGUCAAUUUCUUGCCUGGCAGUGGAAUUAAAGCUCUAAUAGUCUUUAUUUAAAAUUGUGAGAGGACAGCACAGUGCUAGCACUGACUAGACUUGUGAUGUUAAAUGUAUAUGCCUUACCUGUGCAAUAACUAGUCCAAUAUUCACACAAAGAUCUUUUUACAUUAAAAACAAGAUAAACCAAACUCUCA